UUUUUGGGAUCGUUGUAGCUUAAUCCAGCUAGCCCGAGGACUAAUUUGCAAAAUGGUUAAACUGUUAGGCCAGGCGACACGGCCGUGUGUCUCCUAUUGCAUUCAAAGGGUUGCAAGUCAAGAUGUCACAUUGCCUAGCACAGGGCAUGUGGGGUUAUUUUGAAGGGUACACUGUGUGGCCCAAGUUAGUGAGUCACCCGGCUG
This 204-nucleotide long non-coding RNA is filed under the name Gossypium raimondii (Peruvian cotton). Its description in RNAcentral is "long non-coding RNA (GRAI_LNC007435)". The record is from RNAcentral. Lineage: Eukaryota; Viridiplantae; Streptophyta; Magnoliopsida; Malvales; Malvaceae.